RNAcentral lists this ribosomal RNA (433 nucleotides) under uncultured bacterium. RNAcentral describes it as "partial 16S ribosomal RNA". It matches the Rfam family "Bacterial small subunit ribosomal RNA", at positions 29 to 507 of the family's 1533-position model. The record is from RNAcentral.
AACGAACGCUGGCGGCAGGCCUAACACAUGCAAGUCGAGCGAGGACUUCGGUUCUAGCGGCGGACGGGUGAGUAACGCGUGGGAAUGUGCCCUUCUCUACGGAAUAGCCCUGGGAAACUGGGAGUAAUACCGUAUACGCCCUAUUGGGGAAAGAUUUAUCGGAGAAGGAUCAGCCUGCGUUGGAUUAGGUAGUUGGUGGGGUAAUGGCCUACCAAGCCGACGAUCCAUAGCUGGUUUGAGAGGAUGAUCAGCCACACUGGGACUGAGACACGGCCCAGACUCCUACGGGAUGCAGCAGUGGGGAAUCUUAGACAAUGGGGGCAACCCUGAACGAGCCAUGCCGGGUGAGUGAUGAAGGCCUGAGGGUUGUAAAGCUCUUUCAGCUGGGAAGAUAAUGACGGUACCAGCAGAAGAAGCCCCGGCUAACUCCGUG